This 292-nucleotide ribosomal RNA is filed under the name uncultured bacterium. RNAcentral describes it as "partial 16S ribosomal RNA". It matches the Rfam family "Bacterial small subunit ribosomal RNA", at positions 505 to 796 of the family's 1533-position model. The record is from RNAcentral.
GUGCCAGCCGCCGCGGUAAAACGUAGGUGGCGAGCGUUAUCCGGAUUUACUGGGCGUAAAGGGCGUGUAGGUGGCCGGGCAAGUCGGGCAUGAAAUCUUUUGGCUCAACCGAGAGAGGCUGUCCGAUACUGUUCGGCUUGAGGACGGGAGAGGGUGGUGGAAUUCCGCGUGUAGUGGUGAAAUGCGUAGAGAUGCGGAGGAACACCAGUGGCGAAAGCGGCCACCUGGCCCGGCCCUGACACUGAAACGCGAAAGCUAGGGUAGCGAACGGGAUUAGAAACCCGAGUAGUCC